AGCGAACAUUGGCGGUAGGCUUAACACAUGCAAGUCGAGCGAGGCGUAAUAGUCGAGCGGCGAACGGGUGCGUAAUACAUGGGAAUCUACCUCGAAGUGGGGGAUAACGUCCAGAAAUGGACGCUAAUACCGCAUAAUCCAUAUCGGGAAAGCGUUGCAGCGCUUUGAGAUGAGCCCAUGGCUGAUUAGCUUGUUGGUGAGGUAACGGCUCACCAAGGCGACGAUCAGUAGCUGGUCUGAGAGGAUGACCAGCCACACUGGAACUGAGACACGGUCCAGACUCCUACGGGAGGCAGCAGUGGGGAAUCUUGCGAAAUGGGGGAACCCCUGACGCAGCCAUACCGCGUGAGUGAUGAAGGUCUUCGGAUUGUAAAGCUCUUUCGGCAGGGACGACGAUGACGGUACCUGAAAAAGAAGUCACGGCUAACUUCGUGCCAGCCGCCGCGGUAA
Molecule: ribosomal RNA, 450 nt
Filed under: uncultured bacterium
Lineage: Bacteria
Description: partial 16S ribosomal RNA
Rfam family: Bacterial small subunit ribosomal RNA
Source: RNAcentral